RNAcentral lists this ribosomal RNA (498 nucleotides) under uncultured bacterium. RNAcentral's name for it is "partial 16S ribosomal RNA". It matches the Rfam family "Bacterial small subunit ribosomal RNA", at positions 28 to 507 of the family's 1533-position model. The record is from RNAcentral.
GACGAACGCUGGCGGCGUGCCUAAUACAUGCAAGUCGAACGAGAGCGCCUGGUGCUUGCACUGGUCAAUCUAGUGGCGAACGGGUGAGUAACACGUGGGUAACCUGCCCAUCAGAGGGGGAUAACAUCCGGAAACGGAUGCUAAAACCGCAUAGGUCUUCGAGCCGCAUGGCUUGAAGAGGAAAAGAGGCGCAAGCUUCUGCUGAUGGAUGGACCCGCGGUGCAUUAGCUAGUUGGUGAGGUAACGGCUCACCAAGGCCGUGAUGCAUAGCCGACCUGAGAGGGUGAUCGGCCACAUUGGAACUGAGACACGGCCCAAACUCCUACGGGAGGCAGCAGUAGGGAAUCUUCCGCAAUGGACGCAAGUCUGACGGAGCAACGCCGCGUGAGUGAAGAAGGUGUUCGGAUCGUAAAACUCUGUUGUUAGAGAAGAACAAGUGCUAGAGUAACUGUUAGCGCCUUGACGGUAUCUAACCAGAAAGCCACGGCUAACUACGUG